Molecule: ribosomal RNA, 446 nt
Filed under: uncultured bacterium
Lineage: Bacteria
Description: partial 16S ribosomal RNA
Rfam family: Bacterial small subunit ribosomal RNA
Source: RNAcentral
CCUACGGGUGGCAGCAGUCGAGAAUCAUUCACAAUGGGGGAAACCCUGAUGGUGCGACGCCGCGUGGGGGAAUGAAGGUCUUCGGAUUGUAAACCCCUGUCAUGUGGGAGCAAAUUAAAAAGAUAGUACCACAAGAGGAAGAGACGGCUAACUCUGUGCCAGCAGCCGCGGUAAUACAGAGGUCUCAAGCGUUGUUCGGAAUCACUGGGCGUAAAGCGUGCGUAGGCUGUUUCGUAAGUCGUGUGUGAAAGGCGAGGGCUCAACCCGCGGACGGCACAUGAUACUGCGAGACUAGAGUAAUGGAGGGGGAGCCGGAAUUCUCGGUGUAGCAGUGAAAUGCGUAGAUAUCGAGAGGAACACUCGGGGCGAAGGCGGGUUCCUGGACAUUAACUGACGCUGAGGCACGAAGGCCAGGGGAGCGAAAGGGAUUAGAUACCCUAGUAGUC